RNAcentral lists this long non-coding RNA (692 nucleotides) under Linum usitatissimum (flax). RNAcentral's name for it is "long non-coding RNA (LUSI_LNC006862)". Lineage: Eukaryota; Viridiplantae; Streptophyta; Magnoliopsida; Malpighiales; Linaceae. The record is from RNAcentral.
GUGUGCUAACUGAGCAAAAGUUCGACUAGCAUCCAAUCCAGGUGAUUUCUGAUCCUAAAUUUUUAAGAGAUUGUGUCUAACUAGAACGAAAUGAGUGAUUCACAAGCUGCUGUCUUUCUUGCUGAUGGUUUUUCAGCCAAUCGACCUCCAAGGUUUGAAGGAGCUCACUUUGGCUACUGGAAGAAUCGAAUGGAGCUGUUCAUCAAGACAGUCAACCCAGUCCUAUGGGUGCUCAUAGUCAAUGGUCCACAAGAGGUAAAAGCCAAUAUUGAUAAAUGGACUGAUGAUGAUGUUAGGAAAGUACAACUAAACUCUCAGGCAAUUAAUUUGAUGUAUUGUGCUCUAGGCAAGGAAGAAUUUAAUCGCAUAUCUACCUGCAAAUCUGCAAAGGAAAUAUGGGAUAAGCUAUGUAUAACUCAUGAAGGAACGAGCCUAGUUAAAACAACUAAGAUUAGUAUGUUAAAACAAGAGUUUGAAAUGUUUAAAAUGGAACCUGGUGAAUCUAUAAGAGACAUGGCUGAUAGAUUCCAGAACAUAAUAAAUAAAUUAGAAGGACUAGGAAAGACAUAUGAAAAUGAAGACAUUAUAAGAAAAAUUCUGUGGUGCUUACCUAGUCAAUGGCUUCCUAAAGUCACAGCAAUAGAAGAAACUAAGAAGCAUGCUGAUAUCAUGUUAGAUGAACUAUUAGGAUC